Molecule: long non-coding RNA, 741 nt
Filed under: Fukomys damarensis (Damara mole-rat)
Lineage: Eukaryota; Metazoa; Chordata; Mammalia; Rodentia; Bathyergidae
Description: lncRNA (ENSFDAG00000029167.1)
Source: RNAcentral
CCACCAUGGAUCCCCAGGAAUAGGAUCUGGCUCACAUGUUCCUGCUAGAGUAAAGUUGGCUGUGGGAGCAGCAGGAGGUUUCAGUUGGUGAUGCCAAGCGAAAGACAGAGGGUAAGGUGAAGACAUUUCCUGACAAACAGCACGGUGCUUCUGCAACCAAAGCAAGCCCCCAGGCUCAGCUAGCUCAGGAACCUCAUCCCAGAGCCAGCAGCCAAGUGUGGUUGGAGGUCCAGGCACCAGCUGCCCAGGUGGACAUCUGUAGGGACACACAGACCCCUCCCCAACAGCCUGCCUCCCUGAUGGUGCUACCGGUGUAAGUGGAGGCACCUCUGUGUCUGUCAGGGGGUCUAAACCUGGCAUCUACAAUGCAUCACCUGGUGGUGGACACAUAUGAAGCCAUCAGCAAAUUCCCUAGGAAGACUGAGCAGGAUGUGGAAACCAACAGGUGUCAGUCUGGAGCACAUGGCAGAGAAGGGUUAGCUUGCUCAUGAGCUGUUACUUGGUCCUAAGCUGGACACAUUUCCUCCCCGUGCCUGAGGCCUGAAUAGUGGGACCGGAGCCAGCCUGAAGAGGGGAAAGAGGUUUUCAGACCAUAAAAGUGCCUGGGACUGGCCUGAUGCCAUCUCUUUGUCUCAAUUUAAGGAGUAAUUCUCAUUUAUUAAAACGAUAUUCAAAGAGGGAAAUGUCUUAUAAUUAGAACCAAGCAUUGCACUCUGACCAUGAAUAAAAACCACAGGAAAG